This is an unclassified non-coding RNA of Pongo abelii (Sumatran orangutan), 148 nucleotides long. It matches the Rfam family "Metazoan signal recognition particle RNA". Rfam says of the family: The signal recognition particle (SRP) is a universally conserved ribonucleoprotein. It is involved in the co-translational targeting of proteins to membranes. NCBI's taxonomy places the organism in Eukaryota, Metazoa, Chordata, Mammalia, Primates, Hominidae. The record is from Ensembl.
GCCAGGCAUGGUGGUGCAUGCCUGUAAUCCCAGCUACUCAGGAGGCUGAGGCAGGAGAAUCACUUGAACCCAGGAGAUGGAGGUUGCAAUGAGCCGUGAUCGUGCCACUGCAAUCUAGCCUGGGUGACAGAGUGAGACUCCGUCUCAA